AACGAACGCUGGCGGCAUGCCUAACACAUGCAAGUCGAACGAGACCUUCGGGUCUAGUGGCGCACGGGUGCGUAACGCGUGGGAAUCUGCCCUUUGCUUCGGAAUAACAGUUAGAAAUGACUGCUAAUACCGGAUGAUGUCUUCGGACCAAAGAUUUAUCGGCAAAGGAUGAGCCCGCGUAGGAUUAGGGUAGUUGGUGGGGUAAAAGGCCUACCAAGCCGAGAUCCUUAGCUGGUCUGAGAGGAUGAUNAGCACACUGGGACUGAGACGCGGCCCAGACUCCUACGGAGGCAGCAGUGGGGAAUUUUGGACAAUGGCGCAAGCCU
Molecule: ribosomal RNA, 326 nt
Filed under: uncultured bacterium
Lineage: Bacteria
Description: bacterial SSU rRNA
Rfam family: Bacterial small subunit ribosomal RNA
Source: RNAcentral